This 518-nucleotide ribosomal RNA is filed under the name uncultured Glomus. Its description in RNAcentral is "SSU rRNA". It matches the Rfam family "Eukaryotic small subunit ribosomal RNA", at positions 569 to 1089 of the family's 1831-position model. Lineage: Eukaryota; Fungi; Glomeromycota; Glomeromycetes; Glomerales; Glomeraceae. The record is from RNAcentral.
AGCAGCCGCGGUAAUUCCAGCUCCAAUAGCGUAUAUUAAAGUUGUUGCAGUUAAAAAGCUCGUAGUUGAAUUUCGGGGUUAGUAGGUUGGUCAUGCCUCUGGUAUGUACUGGUCUCACUGAUUCCUCCUUCCUGAUGAGCCGUAAUGCCAUUAAUUUGGUGUUGCGGGGAAUUUGGACUGUUACUUUGAAAAAAUUAGAGUGUUUAAAGCAAGCUAACGCUUGAAUACAUUAGCAUGGAAUAAUGAAAUAGGACGUUCGAUCCUAUUUUGUUGGUUUCUAGGAUUGACGUAAUGAUUAAUAGGGAUAGUUGGGGGCAUUAGUAUUCAAUUGUCAGAGGUGAAAUUCUUGGAUUUAUUGAAGACUAACUACUGCGAAAGCAUUUGCCAAGGAUGUUUUCAUUAAUCAAGAACGAAAGUUAGGGGAUCGAAGACGAUCAGAUACCGUCGUAGUCUUAACCAUAAACUAUGCCGACUAGGGAUCGGAUGAUGUUAAUUUUUAAUGACUCAUUCGGCGCCUU